CUAUACAUGCAAGUCGAGCGAAUGACGAGAAGCUUGCUUCUCUGAUUUAGCGGCGGACGGGUGAGUAACACGUGGGCAACCUGCCCUACAGAUUGGGAUAACUCAGGGAAACCUGGGCUAAUACCGAAUAAUCCUUCGAAUCACAUGUUUUGAAGUUGAAAGGCGCUUCGGCGUCACUGUAGGAUGGGCCCGCGGUGCAUUAGCUAGUUGGUGGGGUAACGGCCUACCAAGGCAACGAUGCAUAGCCGACCUGAGAGGGUGAUCGGCCACAUUGGGACUGAGACACGGCCCAAACUCCUACGGGAGGCAGCAGUAGGGAAUCUUCCACAAUGGACGAAAGUCUGAUGGAGCAACGCCGCGUGAGUGAUGAAGGUUUUCGGAUCGUAAAACUCUGUUGUAAGGGAAGAACAAGUACGUUAGGAAAUGAACGUACCUUGACGGUACCUUAUUAGAAAGCCACGGCUAACUACGUGCCAGCAGCCGCGGUAAUACGUAGGUGGCAAGCGUUGUCCGGAUUUAUUGGGCGUAAAGCGCGCGCAGGUGGUUUCUUAAGUCUGAUGUGAAAGCCCACGGCUCAACCGUGGAGGGUCAUUGGAAACUGGGGAACUUGAGUGCAGAAGAGGAUAGUGGAAUUCCAAGUGUAGCGGUGAAAUGCGUAGAGAUUUGGAGGAACACCAGUGGCGAAGGCGACUGUCUGGUCUGUAACUGACACUGACGCGCGAAAGCGUGGGGAGCAAACAGGAUUAUAUACCCUGGUAGUCCACGCCGUAAACCAUGAGUGCUA
This 784-nucleotide ribosomal RNA is filed under the name Kurthia gibsonii. Its description in RNAcentral is "bacterial SSU rRNA". It matches the Rfam family "Bacterial small subunit ribosomal RNA", at positions 49 to 818 of the family's 1533-position model. Lineage: Bacteria; Bacillati; Bacillota; Bacilli; Caryophanales; Caryophanaceae. The record is from RNAcentral.